UUCCGAUGCCGUACAUUGGCAUUGUGAGCCAUCUGUACCACUGUUGCAUUGGCAUACACCACACUGGAAUGUACAUUAACAUAGUAAAAAUAGGUAAUAUAUGAGAUGGCAAAGUAGUUAGAGUACUGGAUUCGUAACCAGAGGGAUACCAGGUUCAAAGCUUGGAGCUGCUACUAAUGAGUCUGCAAGAAACAAAAUAUCUGUUAAUGAAAAUACUGGAGGACCAUCAUUAAAGUCUUAUGGACCCAUCCUACUACUAAAUGUUCUUUGUUUACGACCAAAUGAGACGAUA
Molecule: non-coding RNA, 292 nt
Organism: Ciona intestinalis (vase tunicate)
Lineage: Eukaryota; Metazoa; Chordata; Ascidiacea; Phlebobranchia; Cionidae
Source: RefSeq, a predicted model, not a curated record